RNAcentral lists this ribosomal RNA (492 nucleotides) under uncultured bacterium. Its description in RNAcentral is "partial 16S ribosomal RNA". It matches the Rfam family "Bacterial small subunit ribosomal RNA", at positions 29 to 507 of the family's 1533-position model. The record is from RNAcentral.
AGUGAACGCUGGCGGUAGGCCUAACACAUGCAAGUCGAACGGCAGCACAGUAAGAGCUUGCUCUUACGGGUGGCGAGUGGCGGACGGGUGAGGAAUACAUCGGAAUCUACUUUUUCGUGGGGGAUAACGUAGGGAAACUUACGCUAAUACCGCAUACGACCUACGGGUGAAAGCAGGGGAUCUUCGGACCUUGCGCGAUUGAAUGAGCCGAUGUCGGAUUAGCUAGUUGGCGGGGUAAAGGCCCACCAAGGCGACGAUCCGUAGCUGGUCUGAGAGGAUGAACGGCCACACUGGAACUGAGACACGGUCCAGACUCCUACGGGAGGCAGCAGUGGGGAAUAUUGGACAAUGGGCGCAAGCCUGAUCCAGCCAUACCGCGUGGGUGAAGAAGGCCUUCGGGUUGUAAAGCCCUUUUGUUGGGAAAGAGAAGCAGCAGGUUAAUACCCCGCUGUUCUGACGGUACCCAAAGAAUAAGCACCGGCUAACUUCGUG